Non-coding RNA from Caenorhabditis elegans, 122 nucleotides. NCBI's taxonomy places the organism in Eukaryota, Metazoa, Nematoda, Chromadorea, Rhabditida, Rhabditidae. The record is from Ensembl.
CUUUUUAUGGCAGUGUUCUCACAUCCAUUAUAGCAUUUUAGUAUCAAGUUUCAAGAUAUUUGCGAUUUUAACACCAGAAACAGAAAAACGAAAAAAAGUUUUUUGAAUCCAAAAAUAGGAAA